CCUCUGGUGUACCAGUUGUCGUGCCAACGGCAUAGCUGGGUAGCUAUGUGUGGACGGGAUAAGUGCUGAAAGCAUCUAAGCAUGAAGCCCCCCUCAAGAUGAGAUUUCCCAACUUCGGUUAUAAGAUCCCUCAAAGAUGAUGAGGUUAAUAGGUUCGAGGUGGAAGCAUGGUGACAUGUGGAGCUGACGAAUACUAAUCGAUCGAAGACUUAAUCAA
Molecule: ribosomal RNA, 217 nt
Filed under: Staphylococcus aureus
Lineage: Bacteria; Bacillati; Bacillota; Bacilli; Caryophanales; Staphylococcaceae
Description: partial 23S ribosomal RNA
Rfam family: Bacterial large subunit ribosomal RNA
Source: RNAcentral